This is a long non-coding RNA of Eriocheir sinensis (Chinese mitten crab), 4254 nucleotides long. RefSeq lists it as uncharacterized. The record is from RefSeq and is a predicted model, not a curated record. Lineage: Eukaryota; Metazoa; Arthropoda; Malacostraca; Decapoda; Varunidae. The transcript is spliced from 3 exons.
UUUAGUUAAGACUCUCUACAUUAUUUUUCCUCUAGUAUUUGAUGUGUUCCUGUAGUUGAUUGUUGUUGUUUUUAUAGCGCUUCAUUUAUGUUCCUCCGGUUGCUGUGUUUCGUUAGUCAUUCCUUUAGGUUUGUGAUAUUUUCGUUGUUGAGUUUGUUCCUUUUGGUUAGCUAUUUCUUUAGUUUAUUGUAGUUUUAUUCUUGUUAUUGUUGUUUUUUGUUGUUGUUUUAGCAUUCAUAAUUGCACAAAAAGUUUUCUCUGGAUUCACAAAACUAAUGUCUGUGGUUAUUAGGAGUCUUUAAGCGUACAAUUUUGAAUGCACUGACGGCAAAAAUUAUUGGAAGCUGUGCACAAACUAUAACAGCUUUAGGUGAGAGAGAGAGAGAGAGAGAGAGAGAGAGAGAGAGAGAGAGAGACUUUCCUAUAAGCCUUCAUACUUAAUCGUUAGUUUCUAAGUCUUUUUUAUUACUCCUAGUUUUAUUUUACUUAUUUUAUUAACGGUUUUCUUACCUGUGUGUGUACAUGUGUAUGUGUGUGCUCUCGGUUCGACGAUGAAUGAAGACUUUUUAAUCCCGCAAACAAUAAACGUUUCGCAAUCAUUCGUAGUCUGUAUAAGCGUAGGCCACAAAAACACGACAUUCACGUCUCCGACAAAGCAACAAAAAAAAAAUUAAGUCGCCAAUCUAGGGCAAGUCCGCCGCCGAGUGAGCGUGACGUGGAGAGUGUACAGCUUCGUAAUCGUAAUAUUUUGGAGAACUGUGUAUAGCGUACGUACUUAAGGGUGACGCCACCAUGGCUCAUGUUCCGCCGUCUCCUGGUGUUGCGCUACUGUAAGGAUGAUCUUCGGGUGGUUGUGUUGAGUCCCUCCGAGCCAACCUUUUAACUCUGUCUCAAGGUCUCACUGAAAAGCUUCAUAUUGUGUUUCUUCUAGAUUUUAAACUCUGUGAAUCCUUCUCUCAUCUUUGUCUCAUGGUAUCAUUGACCUCACUACAGUCCCAUUAAAGUUCUUAUUAUUAUUUUGAUUCUAUAUUUGAAACUGUUUGAGUCCUUAUAAGCCUCUCGUCUUUGUCUCAUGGUAUCAUUGACCUCACUAAAAGUCCAGUUAAAGUUCUUAUUGUUAUUUUGAUUCUAUAUUUGAAACUGUUUGAGUCCUUACAAGCCUCUUUCUUUUGUCUCAAGGUGUUAUUUACCCCACUAAUGAGCCAAUUUCACAGUCCAACACAGUGUCUUCGUAACAGCCUGAAUCAAACUAUACAAUCCCAUACAAUCCAAAAUGGUGAGGUCUUCAAUGCCACACUAAAUACACAAGACUUUUCCUGUAUAGUUUCAUCAAAUUUGUGAACUUAAAGUGCGGCUGUAAGGUGCCAUGUGAGGAAUAACCAGGAGUACAGCGAUGUCACAUUUAUAACCCCAUGUUGGUUGCCUCUCUCUCUCUCUCUCUCUCUCUCUCUCUCUCUCUCUCUCUCUCUCUCUCGCUCUCUCGCUCUCAUGGUGUUACCGCUCCGAGGAUUUGAAUGUUUUUUUAUUUUAUUUAUUUAUUUUAUUUUUUUUAUACUUAUGUCAGCUUAUUUUAACGUACAUUCCUUCACGAUAUAAUCUAAAUAUAAUUGUGAAACUACUUACACAUCCCAAAACGAAAGGGAAACUCAAUAAUAAGUAUAUCGUUUUUUUUAGCAACGCUUUAAAAUACAUAUGCCAUGUUUCUUUAUGUGCUUAUAGAUAUCUUAUCCAUAAUAAGUUAACUGUUCUUUCAUACGUUACAAUACUAAGAUUAAAUGUGUAUGCAUAUUUGCUAAUCAUAUUUGCCAUGGUUUUAUUUAUAUUAGAACAUUUCUACAUCGCGGGCUGGGAGACACACGGCAACGCUGUACAAGGGGAUCACCCUACCCUGAACUCCCCUCAAUCGCACAUUUGCCCGAGCCAGACUAUAGGAGACCGUUGAGCAUACAUAACAGAACCAAGAAAAAUAAAGGGAGCUGAAUGUCUGUAUAUGUUAUGUGUGAAAACUUAACCACUUGAGACUGAACGAAAACAACAACCUGCAGUUAGAAGCGACUCAACACAACCCCCCCAAAAUGCUCCUACCAGCAGAACAACACCGAGAGAGGCUGAAACAUGUGCUUGGGUCAUGCCACCUCAUCUGUAUAUGAUUUUGAGGGAGCGUAGAGCCUAAAUAGUGAUAUCAUUUUUAAAGUGUGUGUGUAUAGGCAAGUAAAUCAUGCUGUUUUUAAGAGAGUGUACAGACAGUCUUAUGGUUCAAUCCUCUCACAAAACUGUAUAGCGUAACGGUGUGUUGUCAUUUUUAAACAUGUACUAUAGCCGUGUGAAUCUGUAAUUAUCAUAAAAGCGUGGAGGUUGGAGCCGUGAUAGGUAGUACCACAAUUUUUUGGCGAGAGAGCUUAGCGUCGGACUGCAACGUAAUCUAGUCCUUGAAAACCGUGCAGUGCGACGCGACGUAAACCUCCAAAAAAACAAACAAAAAAAAAAAAGGCAUGUUGUGGGGUGUUUUCGCUUCUACGACGGACGUAAGGAAAGGAGAGAAGAAAAAAAAAAAACGCUUCCUGUUGACCGAUCCAUUAAUGUUUUUUUUGUGUGCGAUUUGAAAGCAGUGCACCACAACUCGACUCUCCCCCCCCCCCUCCCCCCCCACACACCCAAAAAAAAAGGCACGUAGGGAGUGUUCACCUUCACGGCAAUUGUUAGCUACGAAAGAAUAGAAAAGAAAGGCUUACAGAAUUUGAGUAGACCGAUGUGAUCAAUGUUUUUAUUAUGUAGUUUGGAAGCGGUUACGCCACCCAGUUCUUAGCCGAAAAGCACGUUAAUUAAAGGUCGGUCGACGCUUUUACGAAGAGUGUGAGUCAAGGAGGAGAAGAGGGAAAAAAAGUUUGAUGUUGAAUAGAAAAAAACUUUGAUGGAAAAAUUGUUUGCAGGUGAAUAGAAAAGAAAAAGUCAACGGAGAAAAUAGUUUGAAGUUAGAGAAAAAAAAAAAAGGUCGGUAGAAAAAAUGUUUGCAGCUGAAUAGAAAAAAAAAAGGUCAACAAAAAUUAGUCAGAAUUUAAAGAAAAAAUAAUCUGGUUAAAUUUGAAAAAAACAGGGUUGAUAGAUUUUUUUUUUUUUUUCAGUUGAAUAGAAAAAAAGGUCAUCAGAAAAAUAGUUUGAAGUUUAAUACGAAAAAAGGUCAACAGAAAAAAUAGUUUGAAGUUUAAUACAAAAAAAGGUCAACAGAAAAAAUAGUUUGAAGUUUAAUACGAAAAAAGGUCAACAGAAAAAUAGUUUGAAGUUAAAUACAAAAAAAAGGUCAACUGAAAAAAUAGUUUGAAGUUUAAUACAAAAAUUAAAGGUCAACUGAAAAAAUAGUUUGAAGUUUAAUACAAAAAAGGUCAACAGAAAAUUAAUUUGAAGUUUAAUACAAAAAAAGGUCAACUGCAAAAAUAGUUUGAAGUUAAAUACAAAAAAAGGUGAACAGAAAAAUAGUUUGAAGUUAAAUACAAAAAAAGGUCGAUAGGAAAUUUUUUUUAAACUUUAACUCAAAAAAAGAUCAACAGAAAAAAUAGUUUGAAGUUUAAUACGAAAAAAAGGUCAAUAGGAAAAAUUGUUUAAACUUUAAUACGAAAAAAGAUCAACAGAAAAAAAAUUGAAGUUAAAUACAAAAAAAAAGUUACAGAAAAAAAGGUUUGCAGUUAAAGAAAAGUGCCAAGGAAAAGGUUACAGCAAAACGAGGUAGAAGUUUGAAAAAGAAAGAAAGAAAGAGGAAAGAAAUAUAUAGUCCCGUAGAAUAAAAAAAAAGACAAAAUUAAUAUAUAACUUUGUAGAGCCGAGAAUUUAAGAAUAAAGUCAGUAGGUAGCCUCGUACAUAUGUGUGUGUUUGUGUGUGUAUGUGUGAAACAGAGAAGGUUGAGGAAACAUGAGAUUUUAAGAGGUACAAAGGAAUGAGUGUGUGUAGGAUAAUAUGUGAAGGAAAGAAGGAAGUGAAGGUAGCGUGUGUGUGUGUGUGUGUGUGUGUGUUGGGAAAGUAUGUACGUAUAUGUGUGUAAGUUAGGCAUUGAAUGAAAAACAAAGGAAGGAAAUUGGAAGAGAGUGAAUAAAUGGAAGGAAAUGAAAACAAAUGAUGAAAGUAGGAAGGAAGGAAAGAAAGUUAAGAAAAGAGAUGCAUAAAAAAAUGAGAAAAUAAGAUAGAAAAGACUGACAAAAAAUGAGAAAGAGAGAAAGAAGGAAUGAUGGAAAUGAAAACAAAUGAUGAAAGUGGGAAGGAAG